Molecule: ribosomal RNA, 472 nt
Filed under: uncultured bacterium
Lineage: Bacteria
Description: partial 16S ribosomal RNA
Rfam family: Bacterial small subunit ribosomal RNA
Source: RNAcentral
GACGAACGCUGGCGGCGUGCUUAACACAUGCAAGUCGAACGCUGAAGCUUGGUGCUUGCACUGGGUGGAUGAGUGGCGAACGGGUGAGUAAUACGUGAGUAACCUGCCCUUGACUCUGGGAUAAGCCUGGGAAACUGGGUCUAAUACUGGAUACGACAUGUCACCGCAUGGUGGUGUGUGGAAAGGGUUUUACUGGUUUUGGAUGGGCUCACGGCCUAUCAGCUUGUUGGUGGGGUAAUGGCUCACCAAGGCGACGACGGGUAGCCGGCCUGAGAGGGUGACCGGCCACACUGGGACUGAGACACGGCCCAGACCCCUACGGGAGGCAGCAGUGGGGAAUAUUGCACAAUGGGCGGAAGCCUGAUGCAGCGACGCCGCGUGAGGGAUGACGGCCUUCGGGUUGUAAACCUCUUUCAGCACGGAAGAAGCGAAAGUGACGGUACGUGCAGAAGAAGCGCCGGCUAACUACGUG